This is a long non-coding RNA of Gopherus flavomarginatus (Mexican gopher tortoise), 1261 nucleotides long. RefSeq lists it as uncharacterized. The record is from RefSeq and is a predicted model, not a curated record. NCBI's taxonomy places the organism in Eukaryota, Metazoa, Chordata, Testudines, Testudinidae. The transcript has 3 exons.
GGGUGGGUUGCUGGAGGCAGGUGGGUCACUGGGGGCGGGUAGCUUGCAGGAUGGGUAGCUGGAGGCAGGUUUGAGGGCACCUUAGCGGGUGAGCUGUGGGCGAUUUGUGAUGGGCUGACACCAGGCAGAGCCAGAGCUCCUCAGGGGGCUGGGCUCAGAGGUUACAGGGGAUGUGGGGGAGGGAAGUUGGGGGCAUUUGACCCUUUUCUGGGUUUGUGAGCUGGGGUGAGCUCUGCUGCCAUGAGAGGAGGCUGGGUCACCGGUCACAAUAAUGCAAUGUGAUGACGGGCAUCAAAGUCACAUAACUGAAAUCAAGCUGCCAGCAUGUUGUAAUGCAAUGCUCUGCUUUUAAAAGCAUCUUUAUUCACUCUUCUCAGCUCAGUAGACUAGAAUAGGGGCAAGCUACCUUUGCCUUUACAAAUGCAGUCAUGUUACCAGGAUCUGGAAUGGUCCCCUGCCCUCAUCUCAAUGCCCUUUGCAAGCAGUCUCUGGUGAGUGUGGCUAUUAUAACUUGGGGCAGAAGCUGUUGCAUAUCUCUCUGCACACUGAGGGAGGGAGUGAAUUUCAUGAGCUUACGCUGUACAGUUCUCUGUGCAGCACAAGAUGGAAUGAUUUGGGUUUACCCUCCAGAGGGGGUGUGUGCCUGAGAAGCUGGAAUUAUUUUGGGGCAGUCUCUGGCCUGUGUUAUGCAGGAGGUCAGCCUAGAUGAUCACAAUGGUCCCUUCUGGCCUGGGAAUCUAUGAAUCUAACUAUACUCCGACUCCUCAACACCUCAUCCAAACCCUGAGUCUACAAGGCCCAUGCCUGGCAGGUAGGUCGGCAUGCUGAUGGAGUACAUUGCUGGAGCCUGUUGGGGGUAAAGGAAGAACAGGGACUGAAUGGUCCCCGUAGUUCUCAGGGGUCUGAGUCACUAGAGACAUCUGCUGGUGCAACACAUGAAGGACUUGAAUAAGCUUAUUCCUGCUUGGGAAUGGUCAGUGAGAAGCACCACAGCUGGGCAGUUAGGGGAACUGCACUGGCCAAAAUAUAAAUUCAGAGGCACUCCUCUGAACUUGUUUUUCUUACUGCUGUUUAACAAUUUGUAGAUACUCAAAAUAAAUUACCCUCACCUGGUGUCCUCUGCUUUCCAGUCCUAUUCAUGCAUGCAUAGUUAAAUAUCAAUUACCUACCAUAGGAGAUGCCUGGCUUUCGAACCCAUUAGACCAAAAUGUUAGUCCUAGGAUCACAGCUAUGUUUGGUUAUGCAGAAGUCAUAUUAGAGA